CAGUAGCCACGGUAAUACGAAGGGGGCUAGCGUUGUCCGGAAUUAUUGGGCGUAAAGGGCUCGCAGGCGGUUUCUUAAGUCUGAUGUGAAAGCCCCCGGCUCAACCGGGGAGGGUCAUUGGAAACUGGGAAACUUGAGUGCAGAAGAGGAGAGUGGAAUUCCACGUGUAGCGGUGAAAUGCGUAGAGAUGUGGAGGAACACCAGUGGCGAAGGCGACUCUCUGGUCUGUAACUGACGCUGAGGAGCGAAAGCGUGGGGAGCGAACAGGAUUAGAUACCCGCGUAGUCCCUGUCUCUUAUAC
This 301-nucleotide ribosomal RNA is filed under the name uncultured bacterium. RNAcentral's name for it is "partial 16S ribosomal RNA". It matches the Rfam family "Bacterial small subunit ribosomal RNA", at positions 509 to 807 of the family's 1533-position model. The record is from RNAcentral.